AGAACGAACGCUGGCGGCAUGCCUAACACAUGCAAGUCGAACGUGAUCCAGGCUUCGGCCUGGUGAAAGUGGCAGACGGGUGAGUAACGCGUGGGAACCUGCCCUGUGGUAGGGAAUAACCGUGGGAAACUGCGGCUAAUACCCUAUGAGUCCUUCGGGAGAAAGAUUUAUCGCCAUAGGAGGGGCCCGCGUCGGAUUAGGUAGUUGGUGGGGUAACGGCCUACCAAGCCUUCGAUCCGUAGCUGGUCUGAGAGGAUGAUCAGCCACACUGGGACUGAGAUACGGCCCAGACUCCUACGGGAGGCAGCAGUGGGGAAUAUUGGACAAUGGGGGCAACCCUGAUCCAGCAAUGCCGCGUGGAUGAUGAAGGCCUUCGGGUUGUAAAGUCCUUUCGGCGGGGAAGAUGAUGACGGUACCGCAGAAGAAGCCCGCUACUUCGUGCCAGCAGCCGC
RNAcentral lists this ribosomal RNA (452 nucleotides) under uncultured bacterium. RNAcentral describes it as "SSU rRNA". It matches the Rfam family "Bacterial small subunit ribosomal RNA", at positions 26 to 518 of the family's 1533-position model. The record is from RNAcentral.